UACGGGUGAGGCAAGCGUUGUUCGGAAUCACUGGGCUUAAAGCGCGUGUAGGCGGCGGGGUAAGUACUUUGUGAAAGCCCUUCUCUCAAAGGAGGAAUCGCUUGGUAUACUGCCUUGCUUGAGGUAGGUAGGGGUGCUUGGAACUCUAGGUGGAGCGGUGAAAUGCGUAGAUAUCUAGAGGAACGCCUGUGGCGAAAGCGGAGCACUGGGCCUGUCCUGACGCUGAGACGCGAAAGCGUGGGUAGCAAAC
This 250-nucleotide ribosomal RNA is filed under the name uncultured bacterium. RNAcentral describes it as "partial 16S ribosomal RNA". It matches the Rfam family "Bacterial small subunit ribosomal RNA", at positions 524 to 773 of the family's 1533-position model. The record is from RNAcentral.